UACGACUACAUAUCAGGCAUAUCAAUAAGCGGAGGAAAAGAAACUAACAAGGAUUCCCCUAGUAACGGCGGGUGAAGCGGGAAGAGCUCAAAUUUGAAAUCUUAAAGGGUUUCCCUUUACGAAUUGUAGUUUAAAGAAGUGUCUUCUGUUGGAGUUUCGGUAAAAGUUCUUUGGAAUAGGACAUCAUAGAGGGUGAGAAUCCCGUAUUUGACCGUUACUUUCCAGCUGUGUGAUACACUUUCAAAGAGUCGGAUUGUUUGGGAAUGCAGUCCAAGAUAGGGUGGUAAAUUUCAUCUAAAGCUAAAUAUCGGCGAGAGACCGAUAGCGAACAAGUACCGUGAGGGAAAGAUGAAAAGAACUUUGAAAAGAGAGUUAAACAGUACGUGAAAUUGUCAAAAGGGAAGCGUUUGACACCAGUGUUGUUUAGUUGAAAAUCAAUUCAAUAGUUUUUGAUUCUAAGUAGUAUUGACUUCAUCAGCUUGCUGCUUUCUUCUCAGAAAUUAUUGAAUGCACUUUUCAGUUAACAAGUCAACAUCAAUUUCUUUUGUUGUAAAAGGGUAAGAGGAAGGUGGCUUGCGCUUCGGCUCAAGUGUUUAUAGCCUUUUAUCUCUGCAAUCGGAGAGAUUGAGGUCUGCAGCGUAGAUCCUUCGGGGUUAGAUACAUUGGUGCUAAGCUAUAGCCUUGUAUAGACAACUUGUUGACUAUGCUCAGUCAUGUAGCUUACUCGCUGAUGCUAUUUUACCUACGCUUAGGAUGUUGAUCUACAGAGCGAGAGU
Molecule: ribosomal RNA, 776 nt
Filed under: uncultured Neocallimastigales
Lineage: Eukaryota; Fungi; Neocallimastigomycota; Neocallimastigomycetes; Neocallimastigales
Description: partial large subunit ribosomal RNA
Rfam family: Eukaryotic large subunit ribosomal RNA
Source: RNAcentral